GACGAACGCUGGCGGCGUGGAUUAGGCAUGCAAGUCGAACGGUAUCAUCCUUUCGGGGGUGAGAGAGUGGCGAACUGGUGAGUAACACGUAGGUUAUCUACCCUCAAGACGGGGACAACCCAGGGAAACUUGGGCUAAUACCGGAUGUGAGCAACUUUUUAGUUGUUUGAAAGGUGGCGUAAGCUGUCGCUUGGGGAUGAGCCUGCGUCCUAUUAGUUAGUUGGUGAGGUAACGGCUCACCUAGGCAAUGAUAGGUAGGCGGCCUUAACGGGUGGUCGCCCACACUGGGAUUGAGAUACGGCCCAGACUCCUACGGGAGGCAGCAGUCGAGAAUAGUCUACAAUGGUCGGAAGACUGAUAGUGCGACGCCGCGUGAACGAGGAGCCCUUCGGGUGUAAAGUUCUUUCUUAUACGAGCAGUGCUAUAUAUAUGGAUAGUAUAUAUAGAGGAGUAGUAGUAUAGGAAUAAGAAACGGACUAACUCGUGCCAGCAGCGCGUAAAAGU
RNAcentral lists this ribosomal RNA (504 nucleotides) under uncultured bacterium. RNAcentral describes it as "bacterial SSU rRNA". It matches the Rfam family "Bacterial small subunit ribosomal RNA", at positions 28 to 526 of the family's 1533-position model. The record is from RNAcentral.